UCGAGAAUCAUUCGCAAUGGGCGCAAGCCUGACGAUGCGACGCCGUGUGUGCGAUGAAGGCCUUCGGGUUGUAAAGCACUUUCGCUUGGGAACAAGAGGAGCCGGCUAAAAUCCGGCGAAUUUGAGGGUACUAGGUAAAGAAGCACCGGCUAACUCCGUGCCAGCAGCUGCGGUAAUACGGAGGGUGCAAGCAUUAAUCGGAUUUAUUGGGCGUAAAGGGCGCGUAGGCGGGUAGGUAAGUCAGAUGUGAAAUCCCGGGGCUCAACCCCGGAACAGCAUUUGAAACUGCUUAUCUAGAGGGUAGGCGGAGAAAAUAGAAUUCCACAAGUAGCGGUGAAAUGCGUAGAUAUGUGGAAGAAUACCGGUGGCGAAGGCGAUUUUCUAGCUUAUACCUGACGCUGAGGCGCGAAAGCAAGGGGAUCAAACAGGAUUAGAUACCCCCGUAGUCC
RNAcentral lists this ribosomal RNA (449 nucleotides) under uncultured bacterium. RNAcentral describes it as "bacterial SSU rRNA". It matches the Rfam family "Bacterial small subunit ribosomal RNA", at positions 355 to 796 of the family's 1533-position model. The record is from RNAcentral.